Drosophila mojavensis is the source of this 555-nucleotide long non-coding RNA. RefSeq lists it as uncharacterized. The record is from RefSeq and is a predicted model, not a curated record. Lineage: Eukaryota; Metazoa; Arthropoda; Insecta; Diptera; Drosophilidae. The transcript has 2 exons.
AGGGUAUCUCCUAGUCGAGCAGUCUCGACUUGAGCCUUCUUACUUGUUUUUAUAUAUAUAUAUAUGUAUUCGUGUUCGUGAUGUUCAGACAGUGUCUGUGCAACAAGUCGUAUGUCGCCCCAAUAAGUCGCGCUGACGAAUUGGUUCGGCCGACCAGUUUGAAUGCAGCAAGUUUGUCGUAAACGUCGCGUCAUGUUGGCUGCGUCUGUUCAUAUGCCCUGAACGUAUGACACGACGCAACAUGCUAACUCAAACCGAAAAUGCACAGAACUCGUUGGCGUGGGCGGUUCUUAAUGUGUUUUUUAUUUUUAUUACUUUUCGGUUAUGUUCUUCUUGUGCGGCUGCGCCAGUUACCAGUCUGGAGUCGUCCUCGGAGGAUGGAUGGGGAGUGCUGCGUAUCAAUUGUCAGUAAUGAGACGAUCCAGAUGCUGUUGCUAGAGAUAUUACUGUGUAAUUCUUUGAUUGUAAUGAAAAAGACCUCCGUCUUUACUUGCUCGAUUCGAACUGAGCAUACAUUUAUUCAAGAAAAUAUAUAUAUCGCUAAAUCUAAACCAA